UACUCGAGUGGCGAACGGGUGAGUAACACGUGGGUGAUCUGCCCUGCACUUCGGGAUAAGCCUGGGAAACUGGGUCUAAUACCGGAUAGGAGCCAUUUUUAGUGUGAUGGUUGGAAAGUUUUUUCGGUGUAGGAUGUGCUCGCGGCCUAUCAGCUUGUUGGUGGGGUAAUGGCCUACCAAGGCGGCGACGGGUAGCCGGCCUGAGAGGGUGGACGGCCACAUUGGGACUGAGAUACGGCCCAG
RNAcentral lists this ribosomal RNA (243 nucleotides) under uncultured Actinomycetales bacterium. Its description in RNAcentral is "partial 16S ribosomal RNA". It matches the Rfam family "Bacterial small subunit ribosomal RNA", at positions 88 to 334 of the family's 1533-position model. The record is from RNAcentral. Lineage: Bacteria; Bacillati; Actinomycetota; Actinomycetes; Actinomycetales.